RNAcentral lists this long non-coding RNA (1247 nucleotides) under Mytilus galloprovincialis (Mediterranean mussel). The record is from RNAcentral. Lineage: Eukaryota; Metazoa; Mollusca; Bivalvia; Mytilida; Mytilidae.
CCAUAACGUUACAUAUUUUAUUCAUAUCUUAUUUCUUCUUUCACUGUUUUACAUCAAACAGAGAUGCGCGAUUAUGUUUGUUUGCUACUAGUAAAGAGUGUGUUGACUGAUCAUAAUGCAAUGCCUGUGGUCUGACGAGACCUUCAGAACACGAUAAAAUUUGUCUAUGACGUUUACCGUCAUGUGAUACAACCACAAAAUUGUUGGAAUCGGUUCCCACAACAUAAACAUUUCCAUUGUUGUCUACGGAGAUACCUUGAGGGCAUUUUAAAACGUUUUCCUCUUUGAAUUCCCAUUGUGUCGUACCUUGAAAAUCACUGCAUGUAACUGUGUUGUUAUCAGGGUUUGUAUAUAUAAUAUUUUUAUCAAAACUUGUAACAUAUGAAUAUCCCGAUAUGCUAAGGGGUCCUGAUCUUAUGGAACCUAUUAUUUCAUUAUCGAAAUUGAUCGUCUUCAACCCAGCAUCGCCUGCACAAUAUAUCAAUGUUCUAUCAUUCGUUAUCAAAGCGCCUUCCUUUCUAUACCGAACGCCGCCACGUUUUCGAGUUACUUUUCUUGUCUCAAUAUCAAUUAAGUUGAUAAAAUCUGAAUCAAAACCAGAAGUAACAAUAAUCAUGUUGUUUCCAGCAAAUAAGAUAUCAAAGCAAUUAUCUAGUUUCAUCUCAAAGUCCUUUGUACCGUCGUUGUUUAUUGCUAUGACUUUAUGUUGAUAGUAAGAAGUAAACAUCAUCCUUCCAUCAGGUAUUAUUGUACAUCCUCUCACGUUGGUGGCUUGCGUGUUGACAGUCUGUCGUAAGGUUAGUGUCAGGUUAUCAAUGGACUUCAUUGGAGCGGCAAUCAUCUGUUGGGCCUGUUGAUCUUUUUGUCUACUUAGAAUAAGCUUGGUCGGCUCAUAAUCAACGAUUAUUUCCCCAAAGGAUUUGAUAUCAAUCGAAAUAUUCUGUAAAAUCGUUUCGAUUUUUAAAGAUAUUUGUGGAUGAUUCAAUUUUUCGCUUUUAAUUAUCGACUGAACGAAAUGCUCUUGCUCUGAUAAAUCGCAUUCCAUUUGCUUUGCUGCCAGGAAUAUUUGCAAAUCGGAAGCAUACUGCUUAAUAUUAGCUAACCCAGCUUGGAAUUCUUCAAUCUCUUUUUCCUUCUUCUCCACUUCACUUAGGAACUGACGAAUUUUCAUACUCUCUGUCUCCUCUGAUGCAUCAUGAUCUCUCAGUACUGCCUCAUGGAGUUUGUCUAGGUUAUUAUUAAUCGAG